This 346-nucleotide RNase P RNA is filed under the name Gemmatimonadota bacterium. Its description in RNAcentral is "Gemmatimonadetes bacterium RNase P RNA component class A". It matches the Rfam family "Bacterial RNase P class A". From Rfam's summary of the family: Ribonuclease P (RNase P) is a ubiquitous endoribonuclease, found in archaea, bacteria and eukarya as well as chloroplasts and mitochondria. Its best characterised activity is the generation of mature 5'-ends of tRNAs by cleaving the 5'-leader elements of precursor-tRNAs. The record is from RNAcentral. Lineage: Bacteria; Pseudomonadati; Gemmatimonadota.
GACCGAUAGUCUGGGUCGCAUGAUCAGGCGCUUCACGAAGUAAGGCUUGCCCCUUGGCCGAGGUAACGCCUGGGCGCCGAGAGGCGACGGAACAGGGCCACAGAGAACAGACCGCCCUUGUAUCCAAAGGGUAAGGGUGAAACGGUGGGGUAAGAGCCCACCGCGCGUCUGGCAACAGGCGCGGCACGGCAACCCCCGGUCGGAGCAAGGCCAAAUAAGCAGCGAGACCCGGCCCGGGUCGUUCGAGCUGCGGGUAGGCUGCACGAGAUGGCUGGCGACAGCUAUCCCAGAGAGAUGACCAUCUGCUCGUACCAACGAGUAAACAGAACUCGGCUUAUGGUCUCAC